GCUCAGUUGGUAGAGUACAAAGCUCUUAACCUUGUGGUCAUGGGUUCGAGCCCCAU
Molecule: non-coding RNA, 56 nt
Organism: Triticum urartu
Lineage: Eukaryota; Viridiplantae; Streptophyta; Magnoliopsida; Poales; Poaceae
Source: Rfam